GCGAGCAUCGGCCGUGUUGGGGUCGAGAAUCACAGGAGCUGUACAGGGAGAGAUGAGGAGGGGCUAGUGUUACUCUCCAUUCACCUUUUCAGAUUCGGAACCUCAAGUUGCCCAGGUGCUUUGCCAGGUUGACCAGCUCACCUGGACCAAUGCCCUCUGGAUGUUGCCAUAGAGACUGAACCCUGUGAAGGUCACCAGAGGGUCUCUAGCUUGCACCCAAGGUCUUCCCGAAUGACCUCCAGAACCCUCUAAAAAAGGUGUCACAUAGAAACCGUUUCUCCUCCAGGCAGAAGUACUUGGCACUCUCACCAUGCGGUCCGCAGUGCACCCCACCCUCUCCUCCG
Molecule: long non-coding RNA, 344 nt
Organism: Alosa sapidissima (American shad)
Lineage: Eukaryota; Metazoa; Chordata; Actinopteri; Clupeiformes; Clupeidae
Exons: 4
Source: RefSeq, a predicted model, not a curated record